CACCCCUCACCCUCUCGCCCCCCUCUCUCCUACGCACCCACAGCCGCAGCCCCCAACCAUCUCCCUCACUCAGAUCUCGAUCCGCCGCCGCCCCCAACCCCACCUCCACCGCCACCGUCGACGACCAUCACAGUAGACGAGGUCGAGGCUGACCCAAGAUCGAGCCAUGCACAGACUCGCGAUGGGCGCAGCGGGGAUUCUCAGGCAACCCCACGCCAAUCGAGACCUCGAUCUGAAUCGAGCAGGCGCUCUCCACCGGCGGGGCUUGGGCUGGCCGGUGUCCCCCGUCGACGUCCUCCUCCCUACCGCUCCCGACAACUAGUUCCCCUGCCACCUCCCUUUCCCGCCGACCCGUGCUCGGCCACCACAGCCGCGGCCUGCUCUGGAACCGCUCCAUGAGCCACGUCGCAUCGCGGCUCAGCUCCGCCACCGUCGGGGGCCCCGCCCCUGACCACGACCACCACCCCAUCCAUCCACCCAUCUUCCCCCAAGUUUCCUUUCGGGAAGUAGUAGCAGGGGAGCAGGAGCAGAAGGCGAUGGCGGACGUGCAGAUGGGCAGCGGCACGGAGACGGAGACCUUCGCGUUCCAGGCGGAGAUCAACCAGCUGCUCUUGCUCAUCAUCAACACCUUCUACUCCAACAAGGAGAUCUUCCUCCGCGAUCUCAUCUCCAACUCAUCAGAUGCGCUUGACAAGAUCUGGUUCGAGAGCCUCACGGACAAGAGUCAGUGGCAGACCAUGCGAACAACCUGGGCACCAUCGUGGGCUCGGGCACCAAGGAGUUCAUGGAGGCUCUGCAGGGCCGGGGCCGUGGCUGCGCCAGCAGGAGUGAAGCAAGCGCUGAUAUCUUUGUCGGAUACAACAGACUUGGCUAAUCUCGGAAACAACCUUCAGAGCUUGGGGUUCUCUAUCAUCUCCACUGGUGGUACAGCGUCAAGCUUGGAAGCAGCUGGAGUGAAUGUGAGAAAAGUUGAAUAGCUUACACAUUUUCCUGAAAUGGUAUGGCUUAAUUUGUUUUUUAGCUGGUGCAGCAUUUCUUGAAAUGAUUUUUAUUCUAAGCAUUUUUGUCAUAGUCAAUAAGCUAGUUCAUGAAUCAAAUUUGUUAAUGAAAUGUUGCUGUAGCAUGCUAUAGUUAAUUACUCAUGGGCGAAUAGGGCCACACGCACGGCCACGCCACUGCUGGAAUCAUCUCAUUUUCGUCCCUCAAAUUAUUUGGUAGCAGAGUUUGAAAUCCAGGGCGGGCUGGCUGGCUGGAUUUGAGUUGUAACCGUAACCGUAGCAGAAUUUAGCAACGUUAGCUUAGGUAAAGAUUUGGUUGAUGAAUGCCUGGGAGUAUCACUGCUUGUUCCAUGCUGCAUUUCAGAAUUGUUCAUUUUUGUGUUAUGACAACUUUAUUGCAUCCUGCCGAAGCCUUUUAAAAUCAUGUACCACACAAUUAGAUCGGUAUUUGAUUACUGUUACAAGAGUAUUCUUGCCACUGAUUGACUACUCCAGCUACUUUUGGUCUAGUUGGGCAUUAUUUAGAGUUCAUAUAUGUGCUUGUCACUCCAUUGGUUAUAGUGAUUCCCUCUGUUUCCUUAUAUGUUCUUGUAGUUUGGUUGCUUUCCUGUUCAUGCAUGUUUGUACAUCUAUAUAUAGUUUUGCUGUGAAUUUGUCGUGCAUGUAUUGAAAUGCAGAAAGUGUUGAAUACAUGUUCGCUCUCAGCUGGGAUAUUGAAUUGUACAUAAUUAUGUGAUUUAUUCAUGUCUACUUCUUAUCUUAUUAAGUGAUUAUCUUUAUGUCCUUGCUACCAGUAGGAUGGUCAAUAGCUUGUUUUGUAGUUUAUAUAUUCCUGUACAGUUUGCUUUGCCCUUCAUAUCUGACUACGUAUUGUAGAAUCUCUACUUUAUGCAAAUAGCUUCCUGUAGCAUUGUUCUACUAUCUGUGUGAUGCUGAACAUUAUGCUCUUAAUCUGUUGCCAUAUCCUCACCAAAUGCACAGUUUAUUUCAUUAGACCUACUCUUAAACAAAGUCUUAACUUGUAUCAAUUUUUCUUAACAAUAAGCAUAGAAAUCCCGACUCUUAUGUUAUAUGAUCAGCUUACUCCUGCUUCAACAACUGUACUAAUUCCUGACUGUUGUAUGUAAGGAGUAAAAUAGUUUACUUGAGUGAUAUCCACUGGUUCACCAUCUUAAAGCACCUUUUUAGCAUUAUGGGCUGCUAAUAGUAUUUUAGACUUACCAUAUCCUCUCUGGCGCGAUGGCAAGAGCGCAUGAUAGACUACUAAUAGGACAAGUAUCUGCAACGUUUAGCGUCAAAGAUGAUGCUUACCAGAUGUUCUACUGCAGCCCCAUCAAUAUCAUCGACAUGAAGUUAGAUUUUGGCCUUCAUUCAUCAAAAGUUGGUGUACAAGGAACUCCAGGAGAAGAAUCUUGAAGUAAAUAAUUUAUAUAGAUAAGGAUCUUAUGUUGUCGUGGUGGCUGCUGCUGUGACCGAAGAUCAAAAGAAGCCUGGAGAUGUGCAUCAUAGUUUUAGUUGAUGUUGCCACCAUGUUUUGGUGCAUGUGUAUUUGAUUGUAUGUACACUUGAUGGAUCGUGCAGUCGUGUAUGUGUUGUUGUGAGUUUCAUUUAGUGAUUUCUGGAUUUGAUCAUUUAAUUGAGAGAAGUAUUGAUUGUUUGCUGUUGAAA
Molecule: RNA transcript, 2666 nt
Organism: Triticum aestivum (bread wheat)
Lineage: Eukaryota; Viridiplantae; Streptophyta; Magnoliopsida; Poales; Poaceae
Gene name: heat shock protein HSP 90-beta
Exons: 6
Source: RefSeq, a predicted model, not a curated record